CCCCAAAAACACAAAGUUUUGGUCCUAAACUUGCCAUUGUUUUUUAUCAAAAUUAUACAUGCAAGCCUCCACACGCCAGUGAGAAUGCCCACACACCCCUAAACAGCAAAUCGGAGCGGGCAUCAGGAUACAACAAUUUAGCCAAGGACGCCUUGCACGUGCCACACCCCCACGGGCCCUCAGCAGUAAUUAACAUUAAAACAUGAGCGAAAGCUCGAAUUAGUUAUGAGUAAUAUGGUCGGUAAAUUUCGUGCCAGCCACCGCGGUUAUACGAAAGACCAAAAACAAUGACCAGCGGCGUAAAGCGUGACUCGGAACAACAAUGUCAACUAAAGGAGAACGAUUGCCAAGUUGUAAAACACUACUGCACGUUAGAAUUACAAUAAAACACCUUUAGGACCCCCCCCCCCUCACGAAAGCUAAGAAACAAACUGGGAUUAGAUACCCCACUAUGCCUAGCCCUAAACACAAGUAGUAUAAACACAAUACUAUUCGCCAGAGAACUACAAGCAAAAAGCUAAAAACUCCAAGGAUUUGGCGGUGCUUCAAAUCAACCUAGAGGAGCCUGUCCUAUAAUCGAUACCCCACGUUUUACCUUACCCCUUCUAGCAAUCAGCCUAUAUACCGCCGUCGUCAGCCUACCUUAUGAAAGAGAUAAAGUAAGCAAAAAAGUUAAUAACUAACACGUCAGGUCAAGGUGUAGCACAUGGAGCGGUAGAGAUGGGCUACAUUUUUCCAAAGGAAACACGAAUAGUAAGUUGAAACACACACUUGAAGGCGGAUUUAGUAGUAAAAUAAACAAGAAUAAUCACUUUAAACCUGCUCUGAAGCGCGCACACACCGCCCGUCACCCUCAUCG
This 859-nucleotide non-coding RNA is filed under the name Saiphos equalis. RNAcentral's name for it is "partial 12S ribosomal RNA". It matches the Rfam family "Bacterial small subunit ribosomal RNA". Lineage: Eukaryota; Metazoa; Chordata; Lepidosauria; Squamata; Scincidae. The record is from RNAcentral.